This 497-nucleotide ribosomal RNA is filed under the name uncultured bacterium. RNAcentral describes it as "partial 16S ribosomal RNA". It matches the Rfam family "Bacterial small subunit ribosomal RNA", at positions 28 to 507 of the family's 1533-position model. The record is from RNAcentral.
GAUGAACGCUGGCGGCGUGCCUAAUACAUGCAAGUCGAGCGAACGGACGAGAAGCUUGCUUCUCUGAUGUUAGCGGCGGACGGGUGAGUAACACGUGGAUAACCUACCUAUAAGACUGGGAUAACUUCGGGAAACCGUAGCUAAUACCGGAUAAUAUUUUGAACCGCAUGGUUCAAAAGUGAAAGACGGUCUUGCUGUCACUUAUAGAUGGAUCCGUGCUGCAUUAGCUAGUUGGUAAGGUAACGGCUUACCAAGGCAACGAUGCAUAGCCGACCUGAGAGGGUGAUCGGCCACACUGGAACGGAGACACGGUCCAGAGGCCUACGGGAGGCAGCAGUAGGGAAUCUUCCGCAAUGGGCGGAAGCCUGACGGAGCAACGCCGCGUGAGUGAUGAAGGUCUUCGGAUCGUAAAACUCUGUUAUUAGGGUAGAACAUAUGUGUAAGUAACUGUGCACAUCUUGACGGUACCUAAUCAGAAAGCAACGGCUAACUACGUG